This 586-nucleotide ribosomal RNA is filed under the name uncultured bacterium. RNAcentral describes it as "partial 16S ribosomal RNA". It matches the Rfam family "Bacterial small subunit ribosomal RNA", at positions 355 to 938 of the family's 1533-position model. The record is from RNAcentral.
UGGGGAAUUUUGGACAAUGGGCGAAAGCCUGAUCCAGCAAUGCCGCGUGUGUGAAGAAGGCCUUCGGGUUGUAAAGCACUUUUGUCCGGAAAGAAAUCCUUGGCUCUAAUACAGUCGGGGGAUGACGGUACCGGAAGAAUAAGCACCGGCUAACUACGUGCCAGCAGCCGCGGUAAUACGUAGGGUGCAAGCGUUAAUCGGAAUUACUGGGCGUAAAGCGUGCGCAGGCGGUUUGCUAAGACCGAUGUGAAAUCCCCGGGCUCAACCUGGGAACUGCAUUGGUGACUGGCAGGCUAGAGUAUGGCAGAGGGGGGUAGAAUUCCACGUGUAGCAGUGAAAUGCGUAGAGAUGUGGAGGAAUACCGAUGGCGAAGGCAGCCCCCUGGGCCAAUACUGACGCUCAUGCACGAAAGCGUGGGGAGCAAACAGGAUUAGAUACCCUGGUAGUCCACGCCCUAAACGAUGUCAACUAGUUGUCGGGGAUUCAUUUCCUUAGUAACGUAGCUAACGCGUGAAGUUGACCGCCUGGGGAGUACGGUCGCAAGAUUAAAACUUAAAGGAAUUGACGGGGUUCAUAGCUGUUUCCU